RNAcentral lists this long non-coding RNA (659 nucleotides) under Eutrema salsugineum. Its description in RNAcentral is "long non-coding RNA (ESAL_LNC001003)". Lineage: Eukaryota; Viridiplantae; Streptophyta; Magnoliopsida; Brassicales; Brassicaceae. The record is from RNAcentral.
UCCACCACCACCAUACUACUACCACUCUCCUCCUCCUCCAGUCAAAUCACCACCGCCACCGUACUACUACCACUCCCCGCCUCCUCCGGUGAAAUCCCCACCACCACCAUAUUACUACCACUCACCACCUCCACCGGUGAAAUCUCCACCACCACCAUACUAUUACCACUCACCACCUCCUCCGGUGAAGUCUCCUCCACCACCAUACUACUAUCACUCUCCACCACCACCGGUGAAAUCUCCUCCUCCUUACUAUUAUCAUUCUCCACCUCCUCCGGUGAAAUCUCCUCCACCACCGUACUACUACCAUUCUCCACCUCCUCCAGUCAAGUCUCCACCACCACCGUACUACUAUCAUUCACCACCUCCUCCGGUGAAAUCUCCACCACCACCAUACUAUUACCACUCACCACCCCCACCUGUGAAAUCUCCUCCUCCACCAUACUACUAUCACUCACCUCCUCCUCCGGUGAAAUCUCCACCACCACCAUACUAUUACCAUUCACCACCCCCUCCAGUCAAAUCUCCUCCUCCACCAUACUACUACCACUCACCACCUCCUCCAGUGAAAUCUCCACCACCACCAUACUAUUACAACUCUCCACCACCACCGGUGAAAUCUCCUCCACCUCCAGUCUACAUCUACGCUUCUCCCCCAC